AUGCAGUGCAGAUUUUGCAAAUUCACAAGCUCCAGUCAAGAGACUCUUCUGAAACAUUUUCGCCUUCAUCACAGACAAGGUGCACAUUGGCCUUGCAUUCACACAGACUGUGUAUGUGUAUAUAAAACACCUGGAGCAUUACGAUCACACCUCUCAAGAUCACACUCAAUAGUGAAAAUCCACAGAAAUUCAACAUUUCAAUGUGAAUUGUGUGAUUUUAAGGAGAUUUGCAGUGAAAAAACUUUUUGGAACCAUCUUGGACAUCAUUUAAAGAACCGAGAAACUGUACAAUGUCCCUUUCUAAGGUGUACCUUUAAAACAAACAUUCGCCCAACCCUCAGUUCUCACAGAAGUCGAAACCAUAAAAAUUGUACACUUGAGGAUUUUCGAACAAUUGCAAGAACUGUUCCUGAAGAUGAGAUAAUUGAAACUGAGCAAUCUGAUAGUGAAGCAGGAACAUCAGCUUAUGAUAUUGUGAGACCAGAUGAGGUUGAAGAGAUUGUAGAGGAUGUAGAUAGUGAGACACUUGAACACAAAUUGGCUUCUCUCUUUCUGUGUAUGCAAACAGUGUUGCAUGUUUCUCGAGCUGCAACACAAAAGAUUGUAGAGGAUUUGCAUAACCUGCUCUCUUUCUCUAACAUUCAUGCUCUCAAGAGUGUCAAAGAGAUCCUUUCAAAACAUGAAAUUGAAGUAAAUGAUUCUGUUUUGCAAGAAAUUUCUAAUGCUAUAGUUCAAACUAAUCCACUCCUUUUAACAUCGGAGAAAGGUUCCCUAUCUACAGAUCACCGAAGGAAUAUAUAUUUCAAAGAGCACUUUUCUGUUGUAGAACCCACAGAAUAUCUGUACAACACAGCUCAUAAAAACUCUUUUGUUUAUAUAUUUGUCACUAAGAUACUUGAGACUUUACUCAGACGGGCAGAUUUUUUGGACCAAAUUGUAUUUAAUCAAGAAGCUUUAUCUGGACACUGUUACGGUUUAACCCCUUUGAGGGGGGGUUUAACGUAG
This 1005-nucleotide long non-coding RNA is filed under the name Takifugu rubripes (torafugu). RNAcentral describes it as "lncRNA (ENSTRUG00000031556.1)". Lineage: Eukaryota; Metazoa; Chordata; Actinopteri; Tetraodontiformes; Tetraodontidae. The record is from RNAcentral.